This 951-nucleotide ribosomal RNA is filed under the name metagenome. Its description in RNAcentral is "bacterial SSU rRNA". It matches the Rfam family "Archaeal small subunit ribosomal RNA", at positions 517 to 1467 of the family's 1478-position model. The record is from RNAcentral.
GUCCGUAGCCGGUCUGGUACAUUCGUGGGUAAAUCAACUCGCUUAACGAGUUGAAUUCUGCGAGGACGGCCAGACUUGGGACCGGGAGAGGUGUGGGGUACUCUCAGGGUAGGGGUAAAAUCCUGUCAUCCUGAGAGGACCACCUGUUGCGAAGGCUCCACACUAGAACGGAUCCGACGGUCAGGGACGAAGCCUAGGGGCACGAACCGGAUUAGAUACCCGGGUAGUCCUAGGUGUAAACGCUGUGGACUUGNUGUUGGGGACGCUCCCAGAGNGNUCUCAGUGNCGNAGCGAAGGUGAUAAGUCCACUGCCUGGGGAGUACGGUCGCAAGGCUGAAACUUAAAGGAAUUGGCGGGGGANCACCGCAACCUGAGGAUUGUGCGGUUUAAUUGGAUUCAACGCCGGAAAACUCACCAGUGACCGACGGACANAUGAAAGCCAGUGUAANGAGCUUGCUGGAUUGUUCGAGAGGUANUGCAUGGCCGCCGUCAGUUCGUACCGNAAGGCGUUCUGUUAAGUCAGAUAACGAACGAGACCCUCAUCCCUAUUUGCCAAGGUCUGUCCGCAGAUCACGGGACUAUAGGGAGACCGCUGGCGCGAAGUCAGAGGAAGGCGAGGGCAACGGUAGGUCAGUAUGAUCCGAAUGUCAUGGGCUACACGCGCAAUACAAAGGACGGGACAAUGGGCUGCUACUCCGAGAGGAAGAAGCUAUCCCGAAACCCGUUCGUAGUUCGGAUUGGGGGCUGUAACCCGCCCCCAUGAAGCUGGAUUAGGUAGUAAUCGCGUCUCAAAAAGGCGCGGUGAAUAUGCCCCUGCUCCUUGCACACACCGCCCGUCAAACCAUCUUAGUUGUGGGUGGGUGAGGCUACCUUGAUAAUGGGGUAUUCGAGCCUGCCUUCGACAAGGAGGGUUAAGUCGUAACAAGGUAUCUGUAGGGGAACCUGCAGAUG